Molecule: non-coding RNA, 23 nt
Filed under: Rattus norvegicus (Norway rat)
Lineage: Eukaryota; Metazoa; Chordata; Mammalia; Rodentia; Muridae
Source: RNAcentral
UUUUUUUCCUGGUGUCUUUAGCU